UUGGAAGUAAAAAGUCGUAACAAGGUCUCCGUUGGUGAACCAGCGGAGGGAUCAUUA
Molecule: ribosomal RNA, 57 nt
Filed under: Rosellinia necatrix
Lineage: Eukaryota; Fungi; Ascomycota; Sordariomycetes; Xylariales; Xylariaceae
Description: partial 18S ribosomal RNA
Rfam family: Eukaryotic small subunit ribosomal RNA
Source: RNAcentral